CAGUCGCCGCGGGAAUACAGAGGAUGCAAGCGUUAUUCGGAAUGAUUGGGCGUAAAGCGUCUGUAGGUGGCUUUUCAAGUCCACCGUCAAAUCCCCGGGCUCAACCCUGGACAAGCAGUGGAAACUACCAAGCUGGAGUACGGUAGGGGUAGAGGGAAUUUCCGGUGGAGCGGUGAAAUGCGUUGAGAUCGGAAAGAACACCAACGACGAAAGCACUCUGCUGGGCCGACACUGAUACUGAGAGACGAAAGCUAGGGGAGCAAAUGGGAUUAGAUACCCCCGUAGUCCCUGUCUCUUAUAC
RNAcentral lists this ribosomal RNA (301 nucleotides) under uncultured bacterium. RNAcentral describes it as "partial 16S ribosomal RNA". It matches the Rfam family "Bacterial small subunit ribosomal RNA", at positions 509 to 807 of the family's 1533-position model. The record is from RNAcentral.